Molecule: ribosomal RNA, 469 nt
Filed under: uncultured bacterium
Lineage: Bacteria
Description: partial 16S ribosomal RNA
Rfam family: Bacterial small subunit ribosomal RNA
Source: RNAcentral
GACGAACGCUGGCGGCGUGCUUAACACAUGCAAGUCGAACGGAAAGGCCCUGCUUGCAGGGUGCUCGAGUGGCGAACGGGUGAGUAACACGUGGGUGAUCUGCCCCUUAUUUUGGGAUAAGCCUGGGAAACUGGGUCUAAUACUGGAUAGGACCAUGCUGUAGGUGGUGUGGUGGAAAGAUUAGUUUCGGUAAGGGAUGAGCUCGCGGCCUAUCAGCUUGUUGGUGGGGUAAUGGCCUACCAAGGCGUCGACGGGUAGCCGGCCUGAGAGGGUGGACGGCCACAUUGGGACUGAGAUACGGCCCAGACUCCUACGGGAGGCAGCAGAGGGGAAUAUUGCACAAUGGGCGCAAGCCUGAUGCAGCGACGCCGCGUGGGGGAUGACGGCCUUCGGGUUGUAAACCCCUUUCAGCCAUGACGAAGCCCUUGUGGUGACGGUAGUGGUAGAAGAAGCACCGGCUAACUACGUG